UAUCUGGGACGACACUUUACGCACAUGAAUUUAGCCCAGUUUUAUCAGAACAAGACACAUAUUAUAGAAAACGAGGUCAACUGUUAUAAAAAAAUAUAAACAUGUAUUUGUAUACAGAACCAUGUUCAAUAUUUAUAGAAAAGCGUCCAAUAUAUAGAGAACACAAUAUUAGAUCAACUUCAAGUAUAGAGAGCAAUGUCUUAUAUAUAGAUAUCAAAUUCCAACAUAUAGAAGAGGCAUAAUGUCUUAUAUUUAAAGAUCAAGGUCAAUGCCAUAGAGAACAAUGUUUAAUAUGUAGAGAACAUCAUUUGAUAUGUAGAGAACAAGGUAUGCUAUCCAUUUGUAUAGAGAACAAUGCCCAGCAUAUAGAUCUCCAGCAUAUAGAGAGCAAUGUAUAAUAGAUCUUUAUUAUAUAGAACAAGAUAAAUUAUGAAACCAAAGUAAAAUAUAUACAACUAUGUGAAAAAUAUUUAAAACCAGGUCAAAUGUAUCUACAAUUUGUGAAAUAUAUGUGUUGUUUUAUUGAAAAUACAGAUCUAUGACAGACUGCAUAAUUAUGGAGAUUCCUUAUGCCUCUGAUAUCCCAUCGGUUAUAAACAUAUUUAGGGCCACAAAAAUACCUCAAAUGAAAUACAUAUAAAAGUUAUGCUAUUUUUCUUCAGAUUUUCAUCCAUUUUGAAAAUGUCCCAAGUGUACAGAUUUGGCCUAAAAUCAUGCUAGAUCGUUUCAGGAAACAAUUCAAGUUCCCUGUAACUUAUCUUAUAAUUUUAUAAGAAUAUUUUAUGCAAAUUUAAUUUGUAUUCUAUAUUACUGACUGUUUGGGUAUUUCUUAGAAUAAAUGAUAACUAAAGUUGUCAAGUACAAAUAACCUUAAAUCUCUAAACAUCAACCUUAAAUCAUCAAACGGACACAGAACAUUAUUUGGGGAAACAUUAAUUUGUAUAGUCAAAUGUAAUACAAAUUUAAAAAGUAUUUAUAUAUGUUGAAUGGUUUGCUUAUUUAACUUGUAUACAAAAGUCAUGUAAGUGUCCCAAGUGUACACAUGUUUGAAAAUUGUAUACAGUUUUGGCAAAAGCUAGUUUUUGCAGAUUUUCUUAUAUAAUAAAAAAAAACUUCACAUAUAUUUGAAGGUCAUCCUAUAUUUUGAUAAAUCUGAGUUUUUACUUUAAGAUACACUGCUUUGAGGCCAGGUAAAAAACUUUUAGGAGUAUAGUUUUGAAAAAUAUGUGUUAAAAAACAUGAAAAUUUAAUUUUUCCAUAUUUUUUUUUAGAACACUUCUGAUUUUGUAUUUAAAUUUUGCUUAAGAACAUACUGCAUGUUGACAAAACACACAAAAUAUUGAUAACAUGUUUUAAUGGGAUUUUAUUAAGUGCAAAAGACAUGUACAUUUAUAAAAAAAAAUUCAAAACAUUUGGUUAACAUCUUUUGUUGUGAAAAAGUGAUUACAUCUGACAGAACGGCCCUACUCAUUUAUAAAACUUGAACCCUUUCCCUAUGCAAUACAAACAAAACUGUUGCCAUAACUUAACAUCUAAAAUUUGAGAAAAUUUUUCAUUUAGGCUUCAUUAUCCCCACGCUUUUCGGAGAAAAAGUGGGGAUAUUGUGGUUAUCUCCGUCUUCUGUCCGUCCUGGCCACUUUCUCCUCCUACACUAUAAGCACUAGAACCUUGAAACUUACACACAUGGUAGCUAUGAGCAUAUGUGCGACCCUGCACUAUUUGGAAUUUUGAUCUGACCCCUGGGUCAAAAGUUAUGUGGGUUGGGGUGGGGCCGGGUCAGAGAUUUUUACUCAUUUUUAUGCCCCUGGAUCGAAAGAUCGGGGGUAUAUUGUUUUUGGCCUGUCUGUCAUUGUAUGUGUGUGUGUGUGUGUGUCCCAAAACUUUAACCUUGGUCAUAACUUUUGCAAUAUUCAAGAUAGCAACUUGAUAUUUGGCAUGCAUGUGUAUCUCAUGGAGCUGCAUAUUUUGAGUGCACCGGAGACUACACCGAAUGUCUUCAAAGUGAUACUGAAGCUCUCUUAUGGCAAUACGGAUAAUCUCAACUAUGCAUGGCCCCAUUACCAACCCUGGGGUGCCCCGCCCACAUUGGCCACGCCCACAUAGACCACGCCCACCCAAAAUUGCCUUUUACUAUAAUUUCUUCAUUUCUACACCGAAUCACUUCAAAUUGAUACUGAACCUCUCUUAUGACAUUAUGGUUAAUCUCAACUAUGCAUGGCCCCAUAACCAACCCUGAGGCACCCGCCCACAUAGGCCACGCCCACCCAAAAUUGCCUUUUACUAUAAUAUCUUCAUUUCUACACCGAUUCACAUCUAAUUGAUACCGAACUUCUCUUAUGACAAUACGUUCAAUCUCAACUAUGCAUAAACCCAUUACCAACCCUGGGGCAGCCCUGGGUCAAACAUGCGGCGUGGGGAUACACGUCGGCCUCAACCGCGCCAUUUCUAGUUUAUAUUUUUGAAAUCACCCAAUUUUGUGUAAAGUUUGGAGAAAAAUCAAGAAAAACAUAUUUUAACAAUGAAAUACAUUUAAGUUGUUUGAUGAUAUUUUCAUGUAUUUCAACGUUUCCAAUGUCCAGAUAAAUACCCUAUUUGUACCCAUUGAAAACCUUUAAAACUUUAAUUUUGCAUUGUUAUUUUGUGUUGGGCUUGAAGAAAAAAGAUUGACCUGUAAUGCACAUGUUUACAUUAUACCUCGCAAUCAUAACAAUUUCCAAUUUAUCGACAGUGGUGACCGGGUUUUAUCAUUAUUAUAUGAUUAUUAGUGCUUGUGGUCAUAUUUCAGAUGCCCAGGGGCCUUUAUGGUUGGGUUAGUGAGGGGUGCUCCCUCCCUUCCUUAAUUGAUUUUUAGCUCCACUGGCCAAAGGCCAGCGGGGCGUAUGUCAUAGUCCUGUGUCCGUCAUGCGUGCGUCCGUCCGUGCCUGCGUGCGUCCUUGUCCUUAACUGUAGGAUCUAGGGCUACCACAUUUUGUAUGUAGUGAGAUAUAGUAGUUCUCUAUGUGUCCAAUAAUUAUGUUGAUGAAGGUGGCAGUGGUAAUGACUUGAUAUGUCUGUGAGAUAUGAAUGCCAAAGUCUUCGUUUUACAUGACAUGAAUUUUUAUGUAAAAGUGGUGGUUCUUCAUAAAUUCUACAUGUUCUUUGCAAAUGAUGACCUCUACAAAGUUGUUCCAGGAGUACCAUAUUGCCUGACAAUCUUUUGUUUUAUUGUUAACUUAAACUGUACUUGAUUCUAGCAUGCCACUAUACUUCUUUGAAGUAAUUUGAGCAAAUUUCUCACUGUUUAGUAAUGUAUACAUUGUUUAAGGUACAUUAUAAUUUCACAUUUUGUAGGUGGACUUCAAUAUGUAUGAUCUACUUAUGCUGCCACAAUGUAAAGGCAACAAUCACUGGAUUUUGCUGUUUGCAAGUGUUAUGUCCAGGACUGUAACCAUUUACGACUCGUUGGGUGGUAACAACAAGGCAUUGUUCGAUUUGUUCUGCCAGUUCAUGUGUCAACGAGCGCAAAUUGUGAACGAUGGCUUGGAAAAAAUUCAGUUCAGAGUUCAAAGCGCCACCUUGCAACAAACAGCGCCAUGGAAACAGCUGUGGAGUGUUUGCAUUGAUGACUGCCAAAUGUAUGGUCAUGAAAAUGCAUCCCACAAUGUUGUGACAGGCCCAUGAUUCAGUUUAUCGAGACUAGUCGUGAGACGCAGACUUCUGAUUCAUGGAGUGCGGCAAACAUAUCUGUGCGACUCGAUCACUCCACUGUAAAGACCCGCACGGCAUUAAAAUGGAUAUUAUCAAUAUGUGUUGUUGCUCGAAAAUAUGUUUUGUAGCAGGAAGUGCUUUGGGCUCGAUUAAUCUGAGAACUCAACAAAAUAUUAAUAAAAUCCUUCUGUGCCUUUUAGUUCUGAAAACAGAAGUAGCCAGUUGGUAUUACACAUCUCCUAAACAAGUACAGCACAAUAAAACUGAAGGUUUUAAAUCCUACAUUU
Molecule: long non-coding RNA, 3974 nt
Organism: Dreissena polymorpha
Lineage: Eukaryota; Metazoa; Mollusca; Bivalvia; Myida; Dreissenidae
Exons: 3
Source: RefSeq, a predicted model, not a curated record